UCCUGGCUCAGGAUGAACGCUAGCUACAGGCUUAACACAUGCAAGUCGAGGGGCAGCAGGAUUUGUGCUUGCACAAAUUGCUGGCGACCGGCGCACGGGUGCGUAACACGUAUCCAACUACCCAUGGCCCGGGGAUAGCCUUCCGAAAGGAAGAUUAAUACCCGAUGGUCUCAUUUCAGGACAUCCUGUUAUGAGUAAAGAUUCAUCGGCGUUGGAUGGGGAUGCGUCCGAUUAGCUUGUUGGCGGGGCAACGGCCCACCAAGGCUUCGAUCGGUAGGGCUCUGAGAGGAGGGUCCCCCACACUGGAACUGAGACACGGUCCAGACUCCUACGGGAGGCAGCAGUGAGGAAUAUUGGUCAAUGGGCGAGAGCCUGAACCAGCCAAGUAGCGUGAGGGACGACGGCCCUACGGGUUGUAAACCUCUUUUGUUUGGGAAUAAAGUGCCGCACGCGUGCGGUUUUGUAUGUACCUUACGAAUAAGCAUCGGCUAAUUCCGUGCC
This 501-nucleotide ribosomal RNA is filed under the name uncultured bacterium. Its description in RNAcentral is "bacterial SSU rRNA". It matches the Rfam family "Bacterial small subunit ribosomal RNA", at positions 17 to 509 of the family's 1533-position model. The record is from RNAcentral.